Chelonoidis abingdonii (Abingdon island giant tortoise) is the source of this 795-nucleotide long non-coding RNA. RefSeq lists it as uncharacterized. The record is from RefSeq and is a predicted model, not a curated record. Lineage: Eukaryota; Metazoa; Chordata; Testudines; Testudinidae.
ACUUCUGUCUCCUGGAUGAUGGGGGCUGCACGUCCAGUACAGGAAAGACACAUAUUGAAAAACAGCAAGUACUUCCAGGAACUGACAGAUGCAAAGAGAAGCACCUUGCUCACUGUCCUCUCUGCACGGGCUGUCUGGAUAUCCCAGAUGGAGGAGGUGGUACAGCUGGCCAACUGGCAAGAGAGAUCUGCCUUUCAUCAACCUCGAGCAUGGGAAAAGUCCCCCUGCAGGAACUUCUUCUGGAAGACUUUCUCCUCCUGCUAACAAAAUAGCUUCCUGAAGAUCUAUUUUAGAGUGGCUUUAGCAACAGCUGCCUCAGUCAGGAUGAAUAUGAUCUGUGACGUGAACAAAUACUGUCUCAAGUGUGAUUAGACUCUCCCCAUCUUCAUUCUCUAAUAAAAAUUGAAUAGAACUGUGUAGACAAAUAAUUCUAUGAUUGAAAUGGAGUGCAAACAUAAAGACUGAGCUUCUUGAAAAGAACUAAAUUGUUACUAUUUGCAUUACAGUUCAGAUAAAAGGCUGAAUUGUCAACUGCCCAACAACUUUUGGUCUGAUCCUGCAGUUCUCAUUUUCCCAAAAUCCUCUAAGGGGAGGAGGGACUGCAUAAGCCGGUUUAAUAAAUAGUUACAAUGGCAUUAUCUAUAGCGGAGCUCCAAGGAUCAUGCUUUUUUUAAAUUCUUGUUCCUUAGGUUUUUCAUACUAUUAUCUAGUACAACCACCUACUUUAUACUAUAUCACUGUAGAGCUUGCUCUGGAAAAGACUUUUCACUUCUCUUAAAGUUUUUUUGGAAGACC